RNAcentral lists this long non-coding RNA (1618 nucleotides) under Physcomitrium patens. Its description in RNAcentral is "long non-coding RNA (PPAT_LNC000797)". The record is from RNAcentral. Lineage: Eukaryota; Viridiplantae; Streptophyta; Bryopsida; Funariales; Funariaceae.
UAUGCGUAUGUAAACGCUAAACGGUGUGAACAAGAAUGACAUGAUUAGGAAGAAACACACUCACAGCAUCCAAGGUCUCACACAUCACCACAAUCUUAACACCUUUCACGGAGAACUGUGAGCCUUCAGCAACAACUCCAUUCACCACUGUGCAGGCACACCCACAUGCAUGAGAAGUAUCCAAUUAGGUAUCUAUCAAAUAACGAAGAGUUUUUGUAACUUGCAGAAAAAUUAUUGGCGACAUCUGAUCGACAAUUCAAGGAUGUUGAUAGAACAUGCCAAUUGAAUUCGAAUAGAAUUAAUAGGGUUUGAUGUAAACUCAUGAAUACUAAGGACCAAACGGAGUGGAAGAGACAUGAAGCCAUGAGGUAUUUACAUAAAUUUUAGCUUCAGACCUCACCAAUGCAAUAGUCUGCGACAUCAGUUUACUAGUUUAAGGAAGUGGAAUGGGCUCCAACCGUAGAGCUUAUUACCAUGAUGAGAAAUAUCCUGCUCAUUCUACCCAAACUUUAGCUAUUCAAUGAUGGAAAUAUUGUGAGCUUCGUUGCUUUUCUUCAGCGAAUGUCUUCGUCUAUAGAGAGCUACCAAAAAUAAAAUUUGCUGAGAUGGAAAUCAAAUAUCUCAUAAAUAAAAUUCUGAGGUGAAGAUGGUGAAGAUAUGAUGCAAAAGCACAUGGUACAACAUAAGAGAAAAUUACGCAACAUUCCUACUUACAAACUUUGGAGCGCUGUAGAAUAAGGAACUUAGCAAGGGGAGGAGUUUGUGAUAGUGCCUUUAAAUCCCUCUGUUAGAGAUUGCUAUUCAUGCCCCUAAUCAGCAAUUUCGAAAGUUUUAUGGACGAUCGGAUUGAAAUGUUCCGGGCAGAGCGUGAAAAAUUUCCGGAGCCGGUCGCCCUCAUCCAUAGAAUACAGACGUGUGUUACAGACAAUAGCUGCUAAACACUGGCAUUCGCGAAAUUCUCACUUUCAUUAGAAGCAUCGGAAUACAAAAAUUGGCGAGUGCUCUGAGAGUCGAACAAAUUCUGCUGCGUGUCGCUCACCACGAAGUCAUCCUCGCAUCCAGUCACAAAACUCAAUCUUAGGCCCAACACAAACAGUGGCUGCCUCAUCACAAGCCUUUUGAAUGGACUGCUUGGUUCGACCCAAACAACCCUCGACAUCCAUCACCAACUUCACCACGCUUGGCAUCUUGUCGCCAACAAUUUCAACCCCAAUUCGCUACAUACAGUCCCUCUCCCAAAUCCCGAAAAUUCUGGGCUGUAUCAUUCUCGCAUGGCAAUCCCACACAGUUAUCAAUGAAAAUGUAUGCUCUGACACAAUCGCAGACACUCCUCGCGGUGUCUUGCAUCUUUCGCUGAGUUCCUCGAUUGAAAAACUCGCCAUGAAGCUCCGGAUGAGCUCUAAACCUAGGCACUGUUUGGAUCUCAUCUUGGCAGUAUAUACUUUUCAUGAUUGAGACUUAUCUAAAUAUAGAAUUGUGCCUUAUUAGGAUGAUAAUCAAAAUCUGGUCCACAUCGCCUCGAAAAUGAUUAUCAUAUCCUUUUCCUCAAAAUCGCGGCCCUGAUGGCCCUAAAACCUGCAGACCUGUACAGUGAGCAAAAAGGAGGAUCUUACUUUUG